CACCGAUCAAAUUCUUCUCACCAAUUACCAUUCACUAGAUAAUGAUAUGAACAAAAUUAUGAUAGAAAACAAACACACCAUUCAACGUUCAAACCAAACCCUUGACCCUCCCAUGUUGUAUAUAUGAACAUGCUUGUUUUCUAAGCAGCUGUUAUGUCUUUUUCUUCUCAACUAUGAUGCGUAAUAUAAUAAUGCAAGUAAUGGUGAACCACGUGCUUAAAGUAUGUUCAUUGGUUUUCAUAUAUUAGCCUGACCCAACUCUCCAAAAUCAUUACUACUCUUAUUACUGCAUCUCACACUAUAGUUCUUGCUGAAACCACUCUCAGUUUCUGAUGAAGAACAUCAGGAAGUUGCUGUUCUCGUCUUCUGAUUCAGCUUUCACAAGUGAAAGCAACAAGACUCAGACCAAGAAAGCUGUGGAGCCAAGCUUGAGGAAAGCACCAUCAAGUGUGCCAAAUCCAACACAGAACAAGUAGGAUUUGACUUUUCUUCUCGAGAUCUAAUCAAUCAAGAAUCCAUUGUUGGUUUAUCUCAUUUCAUAUCUUUCCUUUUAUUUCCUCUUUUUACUAUGUUACACAUCUUUCUUCCUUAAGG
Molecule: small RNA, 594 nt
Filed under: Vigna angularis var. angularis
Lineage: Eukaryota; Viridiplantae; Streptophyta; Magnoliopsida; Fabales; Fabaceae
Description: Non-protein coding transcript
Source: RNAcentral